RNAcentral lists this ribosomal RNA (254 nucleotides) under uncultured bacterium. Its description in RNAcentral is "partial 16S ribosomal RNA". It matches the Rfam family "Bacterial small subunit ribosomal RNA", at positions 524 to 776 of the family's 1533-position model. The record is from RNAcentral.
GACAGAGGGUGCAAACGUUGUUCGGAAUUACUGGGCGUAAAGGGCGCGUAGGCGGUCUUCUAAGUCUUGUGUGAAAUCCCUCGGCUCAACUGAGGAACUGCACGGGAUACUGGAAGACUUGAGUUCGGGAGAGGGAAGCGGAAUUCCGGGUGUAGCGGUGAAAUGCGUAGAUAUCCGGAGGAACACCGGUGGCGAAGGCGGCUUCCUGGACCGAUCACUGACGCUGAGGCGCGAAAGCUAGGGGAGCAAACGGG